Molecule: non-coding RNA, 199 nt
Filed under: Desulfitobacterium hafniense
Lineage: Bacteria; Bacillati; Bacillota; Clostridia; Eubacteriales; Desulfitobacteriaceae
Description: T-box sequence
Rfam family: T-box leader
About the family: Uncharged tRNA acts as the effector for transcription antitermination of genes in the T-box leader family. T-boxes are found upstream of many aminoacyl-tRNA synthetase genes and some amino acid biosynthetic genes usually in Gram-positive bacteria.
Source: RNAcentral
CGAAAAGCAAUGAAGGGGAAUAAGCCCAAACAACCUCAUUUCAGAGAGGCAACGGUCGGUGAGAGUUGCUGUGAGACUUUGGUAAGCACUCGCCCCGGAGCUGUACUCAGAUCAUAAUGAGUGCCGGUGCGAGCCGUUAUCAUCGAUGAAGUGCAGUUGAAAUUGGGUGGUACCGCGGGAAGUUACUCUCGUCCCUUUA